Molecule: non-coding RNA, 27 nt
Filed under: Drosophila melanogaster (fruit fly)
Lineage: Eukaryota; Metazoa; Arthropoda; Insecta; Diptera; Drosophilidae
Source: RNAcentral
AGCUUCAUCCAAGCGAACUGUGCCCGA